AUGAACGCUGGCGGCGUGCCUAAUACAUGCAAGUCGAGCGAACAGAUGAGGAGCUUGCUCCUCUGACGUUAGCGGCGGACGGGUGAGUAACACGUGGAUAACCUACCUAUAAGACUGGGAUAACUUCGGGAAACCGGAGCUAAUACCGGAUAAUAUAUUGAACCGCAUGGUUCAAUAGUGAAAGACGGUUUUGCUGUCACUUAUAGAUGGAUCCGCGCCGCAUUAGCUAGUUGGUAAGGUAACGGCUUACCAAGGCAACGAUGCGUAGCCGACCUGAGAGGGUGAUCGGCCACACUGGAACUGAGACACGGUCCAGACUCCUACGGGAGGCAGCAGUAGGGAAUCUUCCGCAAUGGGCGAAAGCCUGACGGAGCAACGCCGCGUGAGUGAUGAAGGUCUUCGGAUCGGAAAACUCUGUUAUUAGGGAAGAACAAAUGUGUAAGUAACUAUGCACGUCUUGACGGUACCUAAUCAGAAAGCCACGGCUAACUACG
Molecule: ribosomal RNA, 494 nt
Filed under: uncultured bacterium
Lineage: Bacteria
Description: partial 16S ribosomal RNA
Rfam family: Bacterial small subunit ribosomal RNA
Source: RNAcentral